This 84-nucleotide ribosomal RNA is filed under the name Enterobacter cloacae. RNAcentral describes it as "partial 23S ribosomal RNA". The record is from RNAcentral. Lineage: Bacteria; Pseudomonadati; Pseudomonadota; Gammaproteobacteria; Enterobacterales; Enterobacteriaceae.
UGAUAGGUCGGGUGUGUAAGCGCAGCGAUGCGUUGAGCUAACCGAUACUAAUGAACCGUGAGGCUUAACCUUACAACGCCGAAG